RNAcentral lists this ribosomal RNA (253 nucleotides) under uncultured bacterium. Its description in RNAcentral is "partial 16S ribosomal RNA". It matches the Rfam family "Bacterial small subunit ribosomal RNA", at positions 524 to 776 of the family's 1533-position model. The record is from RNAcentral.
UACGGAAGGUGCAAGCAUUAAUCGGAUUUAUUGGGCGUAAAGGGCGCGUAGGCGGGCUAGCAAGUCAGAUGUGAAAUUUCGGGGCUCAACCCCGAAGCUGCAUUUGAAACUACUGGUCUUGAGGGUAGGCGGAGAAAAUGGAAUUCCACGUGUAGCGGUGAAAUGCGUAGAUACGUGGAGGAACACCGGUGGCGAAAGCGGUUUUCUAGCUUAUACCUGACGCUGAGGCGCGAGAGCAAGGGGAGCAAACAGG